This is an RNA transcript of Loxodonta africana (African savanna elephant), 5204 nucleotides long. It is a transcript of the gene named butyrophilin-like protein 1, with no coding region annotated. Lineage: Eukaryota; Metazoa; Chordata; Mammalia; Proboscidea; Elephantidae. The transcript has 5 exons. The record is from RefSeq and is a predicted model, not a curated record.
AACUUCUCUGAAAAUUCAUGGAAAGUAUUCCUUUUGUUAUAAAAUAUCUCUUUGAAAUGUACAGUAAUUCUGAAUAGUAUUUACCAAUGGAGUUGCUUAUCUUAUCAUCCUUUUCUGACAAAAAAGAACAAAAACAAUAACUUGUAGAUUAAACUUGUUUCCUGAGGAAGAGGCGCCAUCCUUCCUGUGACUGUGUGCUUGAAGUUCAGUUUAAAAAACUCUUCAGUAUUGGAAAGAGCUUGCUUGGGGUUUAGAGUUGGGCCUGUGUGGUUUGCAUGCUGCGUUGUCUACUCGUGAGCUAUGUCAGCUUGAUCAACUGUUUUGGGCUCUGUAAACCUCAGCUUCCUCAUCUGCAAAAUGGUUAUAAAUGCUGAAAUUUCACAGGUGUAAGCGCUCUUACUUUUCUUCUUACCUUCAAAACCUAGCAAGGCCGUGAAUGCAGAGAAUAUGGAGCUGCGGUGGUUGUGUUCCAGGUUCCCAGAAGCAGUGUUCAUCUAUGAGAACCAGCAGAAGGAGGAGGAGAUGCCCCAAUAUGCAAGGUGGGCCUCACCGGUGAGUGUUUUUCUCACCCGGGGGGAGGCUGCCGUUCACAUCGACAAGGUCCAGGUUUCUGAUGAUGGGGUGUACACCUGUUCCUUUAAAAAGGGAGACUACUAUGAAGAGGCCACUUUGGAGGUGAAGGUGGCAGGUUGUUGACUUGGUCUAUAAAUUCUAGAGUCCUGGAGUAUUGGAGUUGGGAGCAACCUCAGGGAGAGUUUAAUUUAUCGUCUCAUUUUAUAGAUGCCAAAAAGGAGACUCAUUCAUUCAUCUAUUCAAUGUAAAUAAUUUAGAGCCCCUACUAUGUGCCAAGCCCUGUAGUAGGCACCUAGAAUACAUCAGUAAACCAAAUAGAGUUUCUUGCUCUUUGGAGUUCAUAUUCUAAAUGCAGAGAUAGAAAAAUCACAAUAAAUAAGUAGGUUAUAGAUGAUGUUAGAAGGUGGCAAGUUGUGAGGAUUAAAGACAAAGUAGAACAGAGGAAGGGGAUCAGGAUGUUGACUUGGGGACUAGAAUGCAGACUGAAUUGGGCCUUAUCGAGAAUAUGCUGUCUGUGCAAAGGGCUGAAGAAGGUAGGGAUUUAGCUAAGUGCACAUAGGGUCGCUAUGAGUCGAAAUCGACUCGACGGCACUGGGUUUUUUUCUGGGUAUAUCUGGGGGAUAAGAAUUGCAAGAAAAGGAAGAGCCAAUGCAAAGUCCCUGAGGUGGGUGUGUGGCUGGUAUGUUCGGGACACACAAGGAGGCCUUAUAGCUGGUGGGAGUGAAUGAGGGUCAGGGUGGUGAGAGGUGUCAAUACUGGACAAAAAGUUAUUUCGAGUACUAUUUGCACAGAGGUACUAUUUGAGCUAGGACUGCUUUAGCUGUAAAGACUGAGGUGACGAGGCAACGUUCCAUGAGUCUCAUCAUCCUACAGGCAAGCCUGAGCAUGUACCUCCCAUGGAAAUAGCAGAGGGCCCAAUGGUGCAAGCAGUUUUCAAAUCUUUGCUUGUGUCACAUUUGUUAAUUUGUCACUAGCCAAAUCAAGUUACAUGCCCUAUCCCCAAGAGUCAGAGUGAGAGGGCACUACAAAGUGAUGUGCAAAUGGUGACAUGAAUAUAAAGAAGUUGAAGUCCCUGGGCUAUACUUGUAAUCAAUCUACCACAGAUAGGGCAAAAUGAUGAAUUCUCUUGUGGAAUUUUGAGUUUGAAGUGUACAUGAGGAAUCUUCAUAAAGAUAACUCAUAGGGAUGUGGAUAAAAAGGAGGGGAAUUUGGAGACAGAGAUGCUUAAUUCAUUUAAUUUUGGAAGUGAUUUAAUGAGAAGCAGUUGGAACAAAAAGAAGCCAGGGAGAAUGUGUGACAUGAGAAGAGUGGAGAUUCAAGGACCAAACCUGAGACGACUACUGCCUUUAAAGAGUUGGCGGCAGGGGAGGAAGAAAAGUCCAGGAAGGAGGCUUAGGAGAGUAGUGUGAGAGGUGACAAACCAAGCAGAAGGGAAGGUUGACCAAGCCAAAUGGAGCUGGUUUCAAGACGGAGUCAAGAGUACCUCAUGCUGAAGUGAGACUGAGGAAGAAGAGCUGCAGGGUGACUUCUGGGAUGCCAAGUAAGAGAUUUUUUUAAGUCACCAAGAGUAAACUCAAUGGAAUAGUAGGAGAAGUCAGACUGUUGGGGGUUGAGAAGUAUGUGAGAGGUGAGAACAUAGAGGUGUUCAUGGAUUAUAAAGCUUACUCUUCUAAGAAAGUGUCUUGGUUAUCUUGUGGUGCUUUAACAAAGAGCAUAAGUGGAUGAGUUAAACAAAGAGAAAUUUAUUCUCUCACAGUCUAGUAGGCUAGAAGUCCAAAUUCAGGGCAUCGGCUCCAGAGGAAGGCUUUCUCUCUCUGUUGGCUCUUGAGGAUGGUCCUUGUCAUCAAUCUUUCCCUGGUCUAGGAGCUUCUCCUUGCUGGAAGCCCAAGUCCAAAGGAUGCACUCUCCUCCUGGUGCUGCCUUCUUGGUGGUAUGAGGUUCCUACGUCUCUCUGCUUGCUUCUCUCUUGUAUUUCUCAGAAGAGAUUGGCUUAAAACACAACCUAAUCCUCAUUAACGUAACUGCCACUAAUUUCAUCUCAUUAACAUUAUAGAGGUAGAAUUUACAACACAUAGGAAAAUCACAUUAGAUCACGAGAUAGUGGAGAAUCACACAAUACUGGGAAUUAUGGCCUAACCAAAUUAAUGCACAUUUUUUGGAGCACAAUUCAAUGCAUGACAGAAGGGGGGAAGACUGCAAAAAAUUGAACACGUUUACGUGUUCAGGAAAAGAAGCAGGUGGAGAGGAAGACAUUAACAACUAGCGUUGGGCAAGGUGGAGUGGGAGCCCUGGUGGGCAGUCUAAUGACACCCAGUUGCUAACAGAAAGUUCUGCAUUUUGGUUGCACCACCUCCUCCGCAGGAGAAAGAUGUGGCCGUCAGCUUCCAUGAAGAUUGAUAUAGCCUUGGAAUCCCUAUGGGGAAGUUCUACUCUGUCGUUUAGAGUUGCUAUGAUUCGGAACCAAGUGAAUGGCAGUGGGUAGGGAGGCGAGAGUUGAGAGAGAGGUGAGAAGAAGAGAGGAGAGGAAAGGGAGAUGAUGAUUGAUGGGACCAGGCCUUAGAAGAGAUGGUGACGUUUGGUUUCCAGAGCUCAGGGGAACAAUUAUCCUUGAGUGAAGGAGAUUUUCUCUCACUUUGUGACAGGAAGAUGAAAGUAAGAUCAGUUUGGAUGAAGAAGAGCUUGUGGGUAAUUAACGCAAAACAAAAAAACAAAACCCAUGAAUCUCUUAAUUUCAAAUAUUCCCUGCUUCCUAGAGUAAGUCCAACAAAGACUUAAUUUCAACAAAAGUUAUGAUCUAGUUUAACUUUUGUCCUUGAAAAGUUUUUGUAAUGACUCCAUUUUCUUUCUCCUGGCCUGGUCUGGCGAUUUAUGGUUUGUUUUAUGUUUCCUGGGCUGCAUUUCAAGAAAAGGGGUUUGAAAAAUUCUUUUUCUUUUUUCUCUGGGCCUCAGUCUUUCUACCUGUGUGGCUAGAAAGAACAGAACCCCCCUUCAGAGCUCCUAAAUAGUCCAUAUGCUCCUUCCUUAGUUUCCACUAGGGGGUGGCCUUUCCAUAGAACCUUCAGAUUGUUCCCUUCAUGUCAUGCUGCCAGGGUCCCGGGACUGCACUUGGGACAAGGCGGUCUCCUGGGCUCCACAGCUUCCUUCCCACAGUUGUGGGCUGUGGCCCUCAAGUGCUCAUGGAAGGGCAGGAGGAAGAUGGGGUUCACGUGGCCUGCAGGGCUUCCGGGUGGUUUCCGAAGCCCCAGGUUCAGUGGAGAGACCUUAGUGAGAGAAAUUGCUGACUUCCUCUGAGGCCCAUGCCCAAGACGCUGACGGUCUGUUUCGCCUGGAGGUCUCGCUGGUGGUGAGAGACAGCUCUGUGGGGAACGUGACCUGCUCCAUCCUCAACCCUAUCCUGGGCCAGGAGAAGGUGAAGGCCAUUUUCAUCCCAGAGUCCUUCUUCCCCCAGGCCUCUUCCUGGAAGCCAGCUUUUGCCGUGAGCCUGAUGGUCCUGGUGGUCCUCAUCUUUGGGGCUGGCUAUUUUCUCAAGAAAGAAUAUUUAACACAGGUGCAGACACUGAAGGCCAGAGAUGAACUCCAGGCAGAGCUGGGCAAGCUCUUCUCUCCCUCCUGAACUCUCAGUGUCCUGUUUGGGGAAGACUUGUGGUCCUUAGGUCACCUCAUGUCCUGUAUGUUGCCUUUCAGACCAGAGGGAGAAGGUUUACAAGGCUGACAUAAUAUCAGGAGGGACCAGUCCCUGGAGAAGGACAUCAUGCUUGGUAAAGUAGGGGCUCAGUGGAAAAAAGGAAGACGCUCAACUAGAUGGAUUGACACAAUGGCUGCAACAACGGGCUCAAGCACAACAACGAUUGUGAGGAUGUCACAGGACUGGGCAGUGUUUUGUUCUGUUGUAUGCAGGGUCACUAUGAGUUGGAAGUGACUCGAUGGCAUCUAACAACAACAACUAGUUAAUAAUUCUUUAAUAUACUUUUUCCCAGUUCAAAUGAGAGUGGUUUCUGUCUUCGGACUGGGCUCUGAAGGAUAUAAGCCUCUAUACCAGACUGUACCUGAGACGAGGGCACUGAACUUCUCCCAGUAAAUGGAAAUUUGUAUGUGAGGCACUGCAAAUGUUUCUAAUGGUUCACUGAAACAAUAAAGUCAUAGGUAGUAUACUGUUAUUAUUAUUAUUAUUCUUUAACCUUUUUAAAAAUUUGAUGGAAACUUGGGCUUGGACAAAUUUGUACUAGCAGCCUCACACAUAAGAAUUUCUGUCUCUUUCAAUAUUUUUGCUAUAUCAAAUAUUUUUGUUGACAUGUAGUUUUAAUUUAUGUAUGUGCUCAACUGUUCUAAGUGGAUAUUCAACAGACCCUCUGUUUUCUUUUAUUGAUAAGCUUAAAAUUUAAUUAUGUUUGUAUACUCUGCCUUUUCUUUUUAUUUAUACCUUGUCUUUUAUAUGACUUAAUUGUGUAAUAAAAUUAAUGACCAACUGAAACUUUAAAGCAAAGGAAAACAAAUGCUUUGUUUUGCUCUGUUUCCUUCUCUCCCACCAUUUUCUGUAUCAAUAUAAAUUUCUAACCUGUCCUUGUUUUCGGGAGCACAUUUCCUUAUUAUAAGAAAGAUGCUGCCCAUCAUGGAUCUAUAAACCAAAUAAA